Molecule: ribosomal RNA, 460 nt
Filed under: uncultured bacterium
Lineage: Bacteria
Description: partial 16S ribosomal RNA
Rfam family: Bacterial small subunit ribosomal RNA
Source: RNAcentral
CCUACGUGCGGCAGCAGUGAGGAAUAUUGGUCAAUGGGCGCGAGCCUGAACCAGCCAAGUAGCGUGAAGGAUGACUGCCCUACGGGUUGUAAACUUCUUUUAUAAAGGAAUAAAGUGAGGCACGUGUGCCUUUUUGUAUGUACUUUAUGAAUAAGGAUCGGCUAACUCCUUGCCAGCAGCCGCGGUAAUACGGAGGAUCCGAGCGUUAUCCGGAUUUAUUGGGUUUAAAGGGAGCGUAGAUGGGUUGUUAAGUCAGUUGUGAAAGUUUGCGGCUCAACCGUAGAAUUGCAAUUGAUACUGGCAGUCUUGAGUACAGUUGAGGUAGGCGGAAUUCGUGGUGUAGCGGUGAAAUGCUUAGAUAUCACGAAGAACUCCGAUUGCGAAGGCAGCUUACUAAACUGCCACUGACAUUGAUGCUCGAAAGUGUGGGUAUCAAACAGGAUUAGAUACCCUAGUAGUC